RNAcentral lists this ribosomal RNA (497 nucleotides) under uncultured bacterium. RNAcentral describes it as "partial 16S ribosomal RNA". It matches the Rfam family "Bacterial small subunit ribosomal RNA", at positions 28 to 507 of the family's 1533-position model. The record is from RNAcentral.
GAUGAACGCUGGCGGCGUGCCUAAUACAUGCAAGUCGAGCGAACAGAUAAGGAGCUUGCUCCUUUGACGUUAGCGGCGGACGGGUGAGUAACACGUGGGUAACCUACCUAUAAGACUGGGAUAACUUCGGGAAACCGGAGCUAAUACCGGAUAAUAUUUCGAACCGCAUGGUUCGAUAGUGAAAGAUGGUUUUGCUAUCACUUAUAGAUGGACCCGCGCCGUAUUAGCUAGUUGGUAAGGUAACGGCUUACCAAGGCGACGAUACGUAGCCGACCUGAGAGGGUGAUCGGACACACUGGAACUGAGACACGGUCCAGACUCCUACGGGAGGCAGCAGUAGGGAAUCUUCCGCAAUGGGCGAAAGCCUGACGGAGCAACGCCGCGUGAGUGAUGAAGGUCUUCGGAUCGUAAAACUCUGUUAUUAGGGAAGAACAUACGUGUAAGUAACUGUGCACGUCUUGACGGUACCCAAUCAGAAAGCCACGGCUAACUACGUG